GUCUGCGGCCACGCCACCCUGAACGUGCGGGAUCCCGUCUGAUCUCGGAAGCUAAGCGGGGUCAGGCCUGGUUAGUGUUUGGAUGGGAGACCACCUAGGAAGACCAGGUGCUGUAGGCG
Molecule: ribosomal RNA, 119 nt
Filed under: Pteropus alecto (black flying fox)
Lineage: Eukaryota; Metazoa; Chordata; Mammalia; Chiroptera; Pteropodidae
Source: RNAcentral